This 200-nucleotide small nuclear RNA is filed under the name Arabidopsis thaliana (thale cress). RNAcentral describes it as "ATSL184560". It matches the Rfam family "U2 spliceosomal RNA". Rfam says of the family: U2 is a small nuclear RNA (snRNA) component of the spliceosome (involved in pre-mRNA splicing). Complementary binding between U2 snRNA (in an area lying towards the 5' end but 3' to hairpin I) and the branchpoint sequence (BPS) of the intron results the bulging out of an unpaired adenosine, on the BPS, which initiates a nucleophilic attack at the intronic 5' splice site, thus starting the first of two transesterification reactions that mediate splicing. Lineage: Eukaryota; Viridiplantae; Streptophyta; Magnoliopsida; Brassicales; Brassicaceae. The record is from RNAcentral.
CAUACCUUUCUCGGCCUUUUGGCUAAGAUCAAGUGUAGUAUCUGUUCUUAUCAGUUUAAUAUCUGAUAUGUGGGCCAUCGGCUCACACGAUAUUAACUCUAUCUUUUAAGGGAGAAAGCCCGCUAUGAUAGCUUGCUAUCUGGGCUUCCACGAGUCGCCCAUGCGUUGCACUACUGCACGGGCCUGGCUCAACCCGCCAA